This 253-nucleotide ribosomal RNA is filed under the name uncultured bacterium. RNAcentral's name for it is "partial 16S ribosomal RNA". It matches the Rfam family "Bacterial small subunit ribosomal RNA", at positions 524 to 776 of the family's 1533-position model. The record is from RNAcentral.
UACGUAGGGUGCGAGCGUUGUCCGGAAUCAUUGGGCGUAAAGCGCGUGUAGGCGGCCCGGUAAGUCCGCUGUGAAAGUCCAGGGCUCAACCCUGGGAUGCCGGUGGAUACUGGCGGGCUCGAGUCCGGAAGAGGCGAGUGGAAUUCCUGGUGUAGCGGUGAAAUGCGCAGAUAUCAGGAGGAACACCGAUGGCGAAGGCAGCUCACUGGACCGGAACUGACGCUGAGGCGCGAAAGCGUGGGGAGCAAACAGG